RNAcentral lists this ribosomal RNA (484 nucleotides) under uncultured bacterium. RNAcentral describes it as "partial 16S ribosomal RNA". It matches the Rfam family "Bacterial small subunit ribosomal RNA", at positions 30 to 507 of the family's 1533-position model. The record is from RNAcentral.
AUUGAACGCUGGCGGCAGGCCUAACACCUGCAAGUCGAGCGGAUGAAGGGAGCUUGCUCCUGGAUUCAGCGGCGGACGGGUGAGUAAUGCCUAGGAAUCUGCCUGGUAGUGGGGGAUAACGUCCGGAAACGGGCGCUAAUACCGCAUACGUCCUGAGGGAGAAAGUGGGGGAUCUUCGGACCUCACGCUAUCAGAUGAGCCUAGGUCGGAUUAGCUAGUUGGUGGGGUAAAGGCCUACCAAGGCGACGAUCCGUAACUGGUCUGAGGGGAUGAUCAGUCACACUGGAACUGAGACACGGUCCAGACUCCUACGGGAGGCAGCAGUGGGGAAUAUUGGACAAUGGGCGAAAGCCUGAUCCAGCCAUGCCGCGUGUGUGAAGAAGGUCUUCGGAUUGUAAAGCACUUUAAGUUGGGAGGAAGGGCAGUAAGUUAAUACCUUGCUGUUUUGACGUUACCAACAGAAUAAGCACCGGCUAACUUCGUG